This is a long non-coding RNA of Aptenodytes forsteri (emperor penguin), 1731 nucleotides long. RefSeq lists it as uncharacterized. The record is from RefSeq and is a predicted model, not a curated record. The transcript is spliced from 3 exons. NCBI's taxonomy places the organism in Eukaryota, Metazoa, Chordata, Aves, Sphenisciformes, Spheniscidae.
GAAGGAGAUAAAGGGGGCUUUACUUCACCUCCAAGCCAAAUACUUCAGAGAAAAAGAUCAUCCCUUCCAUUUUCCUGUGCUGCAGGAAAAGCAGAGGCAUGGAGAGCUACAGUCCAAGUACUGUAUGGAAGUAAAUAUUAGUUCUAUGUGGACACCUUUGCUGAAGUGGCUCAGGAGCAGAGCUAGCUAUUUCCUUCUCAAAAUCCAGACAUAUCAAAUAUCAUAAGUUUAAAAGAUACCGUUUUGGAGCCUGCAUCGUUCCUGAAGAAAAUGUGGAUUUAAGGCACACGUGCUUGAUUAAGGUGUCUAAGAGAACAUGGUAAUUUAAAAUGCUCUUUGCAAUACAUUUGUUUUUGCAAAAAUGUCUUUUGGGUGUGUCUGGGCCUUCCCAUCUCUGAGCAGCAGAAUGAAUAAAGAAACAGUAAGGUGUCAUGAAGAUAUAAAAGGAGACAGUUUUAUAACAGUUGGAGUAUUCCUAAGUGUACUUCACAAUUUAUGAAAUCAUAAGUCACCUCUUCACAGAUGGUGAGGUAAAGCUUUUCUAAUGCUUGAGGGCCUCUUGUUAUUCUAAGAGUGCCUGAUGUAUAUAAAACCAUUUUUUUUAAACAGAACAUUUAAAUGUGUUUGGAAUUCAGGUUUUGGUUGUAAGAGUGACUUACUAGGACUCCUCAAUAUGAAAUGCCUUGCAGUAAAGGAAACAAAGAAAAUACUACAAUUAUACGAUUAUCCCUAAGCUUAUUAAACAAAUUGAGUCUCUGCAAAUAACCUUGCAUUUACUUACCAAUAUAUUGAGCUUGAAUUUGUAGCCAUACUGCAGAACCCAGUCUGUGGUGCUUAUACAUGUUGCAAAUUGUAGAUACGGGGUUUUUAUGCUCUUUUAAAGUAGUCUCAAAUUUCUCAAGUUUAUGGAGGUAUUUCUCACUGCUGGGAAUAUUAGAUAAAUACUGGCAGACCGGUAAUAAUGCAAAUCACUGGAAACUAAUGGAAAAAUUAUUUCACCAGUGUCAGUGCAAAAGAACUCAGCUGAGGUUACAUUCUGUUUGGAUACUUCUUGUUCUCAUUGGUGAUAAUUCAAUUGGAGAUGACUCAGUUAUGGACAGGCUACCAAUGUCAUGUCAUAUGCAACAAUACAUCUUCACCUGCUCAUGCCUGAUGUUGUUUCUACUGAAAUAAACACAAGUAUUACUACCUAUUGUAAUACUCUUGAGAGCAGAGUUCUCCUGGCUUGGGGUUGGGGCUUUUUUUGGCAAGGUAGUUCUUUUUUUGGGGUGAGUGAGCGUUUUGCUUGAAUGUGAGUUAAGACACAGCUUGAAAGCGAGGCUAUUUUAAUUGAUAGAGCUUUUGGGAACUUUUCUCCUUCUUACAAAUUAAUGAAAUUGUCUAGAUUAAAUCAAUUUAAAUGGAGUGAGACAGUGAGAUAAUGUGCUAGCCUUUCUAUCUGAAAAUCUCUGCUAUUUAGAUUGAUGGCACCAGGCCAGUCUCUAGUGGAUGUAUUUGUCUACAUUACAGAAGAAUGUCCUGCAGUCUGGACUUUUGCUUCAGAGAGGUUGAGGAUUUGGAAGGUAAUCCAAAUCCUCAUUUUUGUACCCCAGAAUGAAAACAUGCUAGUAGAGCUAUGUGUAAAAUCUGUUUUUAUUCUGCGCAGGAAUUUAUUGUGUUUAUAAUAACCAGAUUGACAUUCAUGUUUUCAGUGACUACUUGGAUGAAAUAAAGAAUUAAGUGUUAGUGGCU